Molecule: ribosomal RNA, 292 nt
Filed under: uncultured Acidobacteriota bacterium
Lineage: Bacteria; Pseudomonadati; Acidobacteriota
Description: uncultured Acidobacteria bacterium partial 16S ribosomal RNA
Source: RNAcentral
GGACUACAAGGGUAUCUAAUCCUGUUUGCUACCCACGCUUUCGUGUUUCAGCGUCAGUUACGGUCCAGAAAGCCGUCUACACCACCGGUGUUCCUCCUGAUAUCUACGCAUUUCACCGCUACACCAGGAAUUCCACUUUCCCAUCCCGCACUCUAGCCAGACAGUCUGUAGCGCACCCUCCCAGUUAAGCCGGGAGAUUUCACACCACUCUUAUCCAACCGCCUACACACCCUUUACGCCCAGUAACUCCGAACAACGCUUGCUGCCUACGUAUUACCGCGGCUGCUGGCAC